This 178-nucleotide unclassified non-coding RNA is filed under the name soil metagenome. RNAcentral describes it as "partial contains 5.8S ribosomal RNA, internal transcribed spacer 2, and large subunit ribosomal RNA". The record is from RNAcentral.
AACGCACGAGACCUGCGGACCUGCGGAAGGAUCACUGUUUGAGUGGGUGGAGUGGGGGGAUUGGUGGAAUGGAUCGGUGGAUUCGUUUCAUCUCAUCUCUCCCUCAUUACCAUUAACACGCUUGAUUGUUUGACUGUCAUUCAUGAUUAUCUAAUACAACUUUUAACAAUGGAUCUCU